GCAUGGACGAAUUCUGCUCUAGCUUUCUACAGUAGCUAUUGCAGUCAGACACCAUGCCAGAACCAAUUCCUGUUUUACACUGUGGCAUGCUUUUUAUAUGCGAGUGGGCAUGCCCUUGGAAGUGGGAUACAA
RNAcentral lists this small nucleolar RNA (132 nucleotides) under Coturnix japonica (Japanese quail). RNAcentral's name for it is "Small nucleolar RNA SNORA15 (ENSCJPG00005010352.1)". It matches the Rfam family "Small nucleolar RNA SNORA15". From Rfam's summary of the family: ACA15 is a member of the H/ACA class of snoRNA that guide the sites of modification of uridines to pseudouridines. Lineage: Eukaryota; Metazoa; Chordata; Aves; Galliformes; Phasianidae. The record is from Rfam by way of RNAcentral.